Molecule: ribosomal RNA, 163 nt
Filed under: Tussilago farfara (coltsfoot)
Lineage: Eukaryota; Viridiplantae; Streptophyta; Magnoliopsida; Asterales; Asteraceae
Description: 5.8S ribosomal RNA
Rfam family: 5.8S ribosomal RNA
About the family: 5.8S ribosomal RNA (5.8S rRNA) is a component of the large subunit of the eukaryotic ribosome. It is transcribed by RNA polymerase I as part of the 45S precursor that also contains 18S and 28S rRNA. Functionally, it is thought that 5.8S rRNA may be involved in ribosome translocation.
Source: RNAcentral
UAAACGACUCUCGGCAACGGAUAUCUCGGCUCACGCAUCGAUGAAGAACGUAGCAAAAUGCGAUACUUGGUGUGAAUUGCAGAAUCCCGUGAACCAUCGAGUUUUUGAACGCAAGUUGCGCCCAAAGCCUUUUGGCUGAGGGCACGUCGCCUGGGCGUCACAU